CCGACACCACCCUCACUGGACUGUCAAUCAAACCUCAUCAUGUGCCACCCUUCCAAAUAUAACGCGUUCCCAGAUGCAUCAUCUCCUGAACAGGAAGGUCUGGACUGGGGUGGAUAUGUUGAGCAGCCGUGGGAGCGGAGGCCAUAUCAAGAAGGCGCCCAGACACAGUAAUGAGGGACUUUGAAACAGGCUGGCUUGAUCUGCUCAUUCUGUUCAGUGUCCUCACCAGGGGCAUCACAGUCAAAAGGUUCUCUGUUCCUGAGGAACACUUCCUGUUUCUGCACUGCGACAGCAAUGCAGACGACCCGAAUAUUGAGUGGACAAAUGGGAAAGGGGAAAUCAUUGCCCUGCAAAAUGGAGCUGCAGUGUCUUACCUCAACCAGAAUAAGUAUCACAUAUCCGACGGAUACCUACAGAUUAAGGAGCUGGAGCUCUCUGAUGCUGGACAGUAUUUCUGUAAUGGUCACCUGGAGGCCGAAGUGGAGGUGCUGAGAGGUCAAGUCUUUUCCAUAUCAGAAGGAAGGACCCUGUUGAUCCCUUGUGAAAGUGACCGAAAGCAGGUUUGGUCCUUCAAGAAAGAGAAGAGCUUGCGGCGGGUGACCAUCUUCACCUUAUUCAAGAAUGGAACAAUAAUCAGAGAGAGGGACGACCCGCAGGGACGGUUUGUCCUCCAUCGCCGGGCUCUUGAGAUAGUCCGUCUGGAGCUAGAGGAUUCUGGGAGGUACAUGUGCAACAGCAACCUGGUUGCCAAGGUCACCGUGAUAAAGGCUCAUCAGGAUCAGUUUAACCAAACCACAUCAGUAGUAAUGGAUACAAUUGUUACAGAUUCACCAGAAAUACCUGUAACAAGUCCUAUAUUUCAGAAAGUGGCUGUCGUUGCAGUUAUCGGACUAUGCGUGCUAGUGUCAUCCGUUCUUCUGGUGUCCCUCAUUUUGUGCCAGAGAAAGAGGACGAGGAGAAGAAAGAACAAAAAGAACGGCAGAUUAACAGGGACAGGACAUCAGCAUGAAGAAACUGAGCUGCAACUUCAGGGGCUGUCCACUAGGGGUUCACCAAAGACACACAGAGACGUAGGCCAGAGUCUGCCAGCGGAUGGAAGGGAGCUCCACUAUGCAUCACUGGGUCGGCAGAACUGGCUGGAAAGAGGACGAAUGCAAGACAACGAUCCCCAGGUCAUCUAUUCUACUGUUGCCGUGGCAAUGAAUCCAACUUCCGAAUAGAUUCUGUGUUCAAGUUUUGUUUACUUCCUGUGUGCCCUGCUGACACACACACACACACACACAAACACACAGACACACACACACACACACACACACACACACAAACACACACACAAGCAAAAGAUGAGUUGUGUGGGAGGUGAGAACUACAGGUAUGAUUUGUGAUACAAAAGAGUCAUGUACAGAUUUCCAUGAUAAGAUGUGAGCAUGACGUAUAAUAAAAAAAAUGACAAAAAUGCCUGUACACUGAUCAGCCCGAGUAUUUAUUUUAUUUUAAAAGAAAAUGGUGAACUAUAUUCAUUAUACAUUUGCUGGAAAGCGUGUAGUUUGGAGAGAAGUUCAGGACACAUUACAUGCUAAGCUAUCUGCUACAGGUAUAUCAUCGUCAAUAAUUGCCAGAUAAACUCUCUCUCUUUGUCAUCCACACACACAUGGGCGCAGAUCAUAGACACGUUGAGAGGUUUUCAGCUUGUGAAAAAAGUUUAAAGUUUUUCGGUCAUUGCACUCUGAAUUUGCUACAGGCAUGUUUGACAUGGCUGCACAUACAGACUUACUCGCUCGCUCACACACACACACACACGCACGCACAAUCAUUCCAUGUAUAUCUUGUUAGUUACUAAGCAUUAUUGGUGAAAUAUUUACAAAUAAGAAACAAUGCAACAAUAUUACAUCACAUAGUCUCCUCUAAAGGCACAAGCGAAUGAAACUGCUUAAUCAUCAUAGACACAUUCAGCGAAUAAGGCCACUGGCAUUGGCAGGAGAACGAUGAGCCACUGUGGCGUAGGUCACAUCUGGGGGUCGAUGGAGUUUUUUCUGAUAAUUUAUGCCUUGGCAUCUCAGACUGGUAUACUGCACAUCAACACUCUGGAACAAAACAGCAGAAGGUAGAAAUAGUUUUGGGAGGAUCUUUAUUCAGUUGUUUUGGUUGUACCUAUGUUGUACUGUGUGUACCGUAUGUGUGUGUGUGUGUGUGUGUGUGUUUGUGUGUGUGUGUUUAUGUCCAUCACCUUUAGACCAUUCUUUUCU
Long non-coding RNA from Clupea harengus (Atlantic herring), 2246 nucleotides. NCBI's taxonomy places the organism in Eukaryota, Metazoa, Chordata, Actinopteri, Clupeiformes, Clupeidae. The record is from Ensembl.